Molecule: small RNA, 44 nt
Filed under: Mytilus galloprovincialis (Mediterranean mussel)
Lineage: Eukaryota; Metazoa; Mollusca; Bivalvia; Mytilida; Mytilidae
Source: RNAcentral
GUAUCACUGAAGAGACAUGUGUUGUCGAAAUGCGCAUCUGGUGC